UCAUUUUUUUUAAUGUAAAAGUUUUCUAUGAUUAUAACAUCUAUUUAACAUUAAACGUAUGCUUUACUGUACCUCUGCGCUUUACAAUGCUUCCCUAUGCUUUACCAGACCUCUCUGUGCUUUACAAUGCUUCCCUAUGCUUUACCAGACCUCUCUGUGCUUUACAAUGCUUCCCUAUGCUUUACCAGACCUCUCUGUGCUUUACAAUGCUUCCCUAUGCUUUACCAGACCUCUCUGUGCUUUACAAUGCUUCCCUAUGCUUUACCAGACCUCUCUGUGCUUUACAAUGCUUCCCUAUGCUUUACCACACCUCUCUGUGCUUUACAAUGCUUCCCUAUGCUUUACCAGACCUCUCUGUGCUUUACAAUGCUUCCCUAUGCUUUACCACACCUCUCUGCGCUUUACAAUGCUUCCCUAUGCUUUACCACACCUCUCUGUGCUUUACAAUGCUUCCCUAUGCUUUACCAGACCUCUCUGUGCUUUACAAUGCUUCCCUAUGCUUUACCAGACCUCUCUGUGCUUUACAAUGCUUCCCUAUGCUUUACCAUACCUCUCUGUGCUUUACAAUGCUUCCCUAUGCUUUACCACACCUCUCUGUGCUUCACAAUGCUUCCCUAUGCUUUACCAGACCUCUCUGUGCUUUACAAUGCUUCCCUAUGCUUUAUCAGACCUCUCUGUGCUUCACAAUGCUUCCCUAUGCUUUACCAGACCUCUCUGUGCUUUACAAUGCUUCCCUAUGCUUUACCAGACCUCUCUCUGCUUUACAAUGCUUCCCUAUGCGUUACCACACCUCUCUGUGCUUUACAAUGCUUCCCUAUGCUUUACCACACUUCUCUGUGCUUUACAAUGCUUCCCUAUGCUUUACCAGACCUCUCUGUGCUUUACAAUGCUUCCCUAUGCUUUACCAGACCUCUCUGUGCUUUACAAUGCUUCCCUAUGCUUUACCAGACCUCUCUGUGCUUUACAAUGCUUCCCUAUGCUUUACCACACCUCACUGUGCUUUACAAUGCUUCCCUAUGCUUUACCACACCUCUCUGUGCUUUACAAUGCUUCCCUAUGCUUUACCAGACCUCUCUGUGCUUUACAAUGCUUCCCUAUGCUUUACCACACCUCUCUGUGCUUCACAAUGCUUCCCUAUGCUUUACCAGACCUCUCUGUGCUUUACAAUGCUUCCCUAUGCUUUAUCAGACCUCUCUGUGCUUCACAAUGCUUCCCUAUGCUUUACCAGACCUCUCUGUGCUUUACAAUGCUUCCCUAUGCUUUACCAGACCUCUCUCUGCUUUACAAUGCUUCCCUAUGCGUUACCACACCUCUCUGUGCUUUACAAUGCUUCCCUAUGCUUUACCACACUUCUCUGUGCUUUACAAUGCUUCCCUAUGCUUUACCAGACCUCUCUGUGCUUUACAAUGCUUCCCUAUGCUUUACCAGACCUCUCUGUGCUUUACAAUGCUUCCCUAUGCUUUACCAGACCUCUCUGUGCUUUACAAUGCUUCCCUAUGCUUUACCACACCUCUCUGUGCUUUACAAUGCUUCCCUAUGCUUUACCACACCUCACUGUGCUUUACAGUGCUUCCCAAUGCUUUACCAUGCUUUCACUGUGCUUGAUCACACUUCGCUGUGCUUUCACUGUGGGUCUGCUUGACUCCUGGCUAGCUGUUUGUGUUUGAAGGCGUGGAUGUUGCUGCACAUCUGCAUGUUGUGUUUUGCAAUAACUCUGUGUGGGUUUCACAUUGGAAUGGGGAACAGAGAGUGGUUUUAUUGUGUCUUUAUAUUUUGGUUUUCAAUGUAUUUUCUUUCUUUUUCAGUAAAACCGGAGAACACAGCCGGAGCAGCUUCCAGUCACAUCAUCACAGGCUGGACUGAGGUGAAUCUCAACACCAGCACUGCGGUGAAGUACAGUCCCAGCACAGGAAGGUUCACAGUGCUAACUGACGG
Acipenser ruthenus (sterlet) is the source of this 1935-nucleotide RNA transcript. It is a transcript of the gene named TNF superfamily member 12, with no coding region annotated. The transcript has 2 exons. NCBI's taxonomy places the organism in Eukaryota, Metazoa, Chordata, Actinopteri, Acipenseriformes, Acipenseridae. The record is from RefSeq and is a predicted model, not a curated record.